GGGUGUUUAGCUCAGCUGGGAGAGCAUCUGCCUUACAAGCAGAGGGUCGGCGGUUCGAGCCCGUCAACACCCA
RNAcentral lists this transfer RNA (73 nucleotides) under Firmicutes bacterium CAG:631. It matches the Rfam family "tRNA". From Rfam's summary of the family: Transfer RNA (tRNA) molecules are approximately 80 nucleotides in length. Their secondary structure includes four short double-helical elements and three loops (D, anti-codon, and T loops). Further hydrogen bonds mediate the characteristic L-shaped molecular structure. tRNAs have two regions of fundamental functional importance: the anti-codon, which is responsible for specific mRNA codon recognition, and the 3' end, to which the tRNAs corresponding amino acid is attached (by aminoacyl-tRNA synthetases). tRNAs cope with the degeneracy of the genetic code in two manners: having more than one tRNA (with a specific anti-codon) for a particular amino acid; and 'wobble' base-pairing, i.e. permitting non-standard base-pairing at the 3rd anti-codon position. The record is from Rfam by way of RNAcentral. Lineage: Bacteria; Bacillati; Bacillota.